CAGCCGCCGCGGUAAAACAGAGGGUGCGAGCGUUAAUCGGAUUUACUGGGCGUAAAGCGUGCGUAGGCGGCUAAUUGAGUCGGAUGUGAAAUCCCCGAGCUUAACUUGGGAAUUGCAUUCGAUACUGGUUAGCUAGAGUGUGGGAGAGGAUGGUAGAAUUCCAGGUGUAGCGGUGAAAUGCGUAGAGAUCUGGAGGAAUACCGAUGGCGAAGGCAGCCAUCUGGCCUAACACUGACGCUGAGGUACGAAAGCAUGGGGAGCAAACAGGAUUAGAGACCCCCGUAGUCCCUGUCUCUUAUAC
RNAcentral lists this ribosomal RNA (301 nucleotides) under uncultured bacterium. RNAcentral describes it as "partial 16S ribosomal RNA". It matches the Rfam family "Bacterial small subunit ribosomal RNA", at positions 509 to 807 of the family's 1533-position model. The record is from RNAcentral.